GGAGUUAGCCGGUGCUUCUUCUGUGAGUGAUGUCCUUCCUGCCGGCUAUUAACCCGCAGGCCUUCUUCCUCACUGAAAGUGCUUUACAACCCGAAGGCCUUCUUCACACACGCGGCAUGGCUGGAUCAGGGUUGCCCCCAUUGUCCAAUAUUCCCCACUGCUGCCUCCCGUAGGAGUCUGGGCCGUGUCUCAGUCCCAGUGUGGCUGAUCAUCCUCUCAGACCAGCUACGGAUCGUCGCCUUGGUGAGCCGUUACCUCACCAACCAGCUAAUCCGACAUAGGCUCAUCCGAUAGCGCGAGGCCCGAAGGUCCCCCGCUUUCCCCCGUAGGGCGUAUGCGGUAUUAGCCUGGGUUUCCCCAGGUUAUCCCCCACUACCGGGCAGAUUCCUAUGCAUUACUCACCCGUCCGCCGCUCGCCACCACGGGAGCAAGCUCCCCGUGCUGCCGCUCGACUUGCAUGUGUUAGGCCUGCCGCCAGCGUUCAAUCUGAGCCAGGAUCAAACUCUGA
This 508-nucleotide ribosomal RNA is filed under the name uncultured bacterium. RNAcentral's name for it is "partial 16S ribosomal RNA". The record is from RNAcentral.